Molecule: ribosomal RNA, 575 nt
Filed under: uncultured Leuconostoc sp.
Lineage: Bacteria; Bacillati; Bacillota; Bacilli; Lactobacillales; Lactobacillaceae
Description: bacterial SSU rRNA
Rfam family: Bacterial small subunit ribosomal RNA
Source: RNAcentral
GCAUGUGGUUUAAUUGAAAGCAACGAAGAACCUUACCAGGUCUGACAUCCUUUGAAGAUGUUAGAAAUAACAUUGGCUCUUGGGAGCCAAAGUGACAGGUGGUGCAUGGUCGUCGUCAGCUCGUGUCGUGAGAUGUUGGGUUAAGUCCCGCAACGAGCGCAACCCUUAUUGUUAGUUGCCAGCAUUUAGUUGGGCACUCUAGCGAGACUGCCGGUGACAAACCGGAGGAAGGCGGGGACGACGUCAGAUCAUCAUGCCCCUUAUGACCUGGGCUACACACGUGCUACAAUGGCGUAUACAACGAGUCGCAAACUCGCGAGGGUAAGCUAAUCUCUUAAAGUACGUCUCAGUUCGGAUUGUAGUCUGCAACUCGACUACAUGAAGUCGGAAUCGCUAGUAAUCGCGGAUCAGCAUGCCGCGGUGAAUACGUUCCCGGGUCUUGUACACACCGCCCGUCACACCAUGGAAGUUUGUAAUGCCCAAAGCCGGUGGCCUAACCUUUUGGAGGGAGCCGUCUAAGGCAGGACAGAUGACUGGGGUGAAGUCGUAACAAGGUAACCAAGGGCGAAUUCCAG